AUCAAACUGCUAUAAGUCCCAUUCGUGAUAAGCUACACAUGACAACAAGAUUCUAAUGGAGUUCAUCUUUACAACAGGUGGGAAUUUCUCUUAGUAAUUCACUCCAUAGGUUCAUGUGAAGCCAUUUGCCACUAACCUGGCCUUGUAUAUUUCAAGUGAAUCAUUUGUCCUAUGUUUUAUUGUGAACACUCACUUUCUUAAAGCAACAAGGACAUCAAGAUCAUCGAUAACGAAAUUAGGGUUAGAAUCUGAAUUAGAAUUACCAAGACAGGAGGAGACUUACCACAUAAAUCUUCAGAAUUUGAACAAGUAACAAUUGAUUAGGUGUAUCAUA
This 334-nucleotide unclassified non-coding RNA is filed under the name Hevea brasiliensis (rubber tree). Lineage: Eukaryota; Viridiplantae; Streptophyta; Magnoliopsida; Malpighiales; Euphorbiaceae. The record is from RNAcentral.